ACGGGAGGCAGCAGUGGGGAAUAUUGCACAAUGGAGGAAGCUCUGAUGCAGCGACGCCGCGUGAGUGAUGAAGUAUUUCGGUAUGUAAAGCUCUAUCAGUAGGGAAGAUAAUGACGGUACCUAACUAAGAAGCACCGGCUAAAUACGUGCCAGCAGCCGCGGUAAUACGUAUGGUGCAAGCGUUAUCCGGAUUUACUGGGUGUAAAGGGAGCGUAGGUGGUUUGGUAAGCCAGAAGUGAAAACCCGGGGCUCAACCCCGUGGAUUGCUUUUGGAACUGUUGAACUAGAGUGCAGGAGGGGUAAGUGGAAUUCCCAGUGUAGCGGUGAAAUGCGUAGAUAUUGGGAAGAACACCGGUGGCGAAGGCGGCUUACUGGACUGUAACUGACACUGAGGCUCGAAAGCGUGGGGAGCAAACAGGAUUAGAUACCCUGGUA
RNAcentral lists this ribosomal RNA (435 nucleotides) under uncultured Lachnospiraceae bacterium. RNAcentral's name for it is "partial 16S ribosomal RNA". It matches the Rfam family "Bacterial small subunit ribosomal RNA", at positions 341 to 792 of the family's 1533-position model. The record is from RNAcentral. Lineage: Bacteria; Bacillati; Bacillota; Clostridia; Lachnospirales; Lachnospiraceae.